This is a long non-coding RNA of Dermacentor andersoni, 348 nucleotides long. RefSeq lists it as uncharacterized. Lineage: Eukaryota; Metazoa; Arthropoda; Arachnida; Ixodida; Ixodidae. The record is from RefSeq and is a predicted model, not a curated record.
CUCUUUGCUACCCGAGCGUGUUCUUCAAUCCUGACCUGUUUUCCCUAGGAACCAACAAUGCGACAACAUACAAUGUAUGUGGAACGCCUGCCUGCAUCCAACGAGCACUCCUUAUCAAGGACUCCAUGAACACGUCCAUUGACCCAUGCACUGAUUUCUACUCAUACGCCUGCGGCGGCUGGAUGUCAAAGCACAACAUACCAGAGAGCCAAUCGACAACGAGCAGUUUCUCCCUCCUGGACGACAAACUACGGGAAACGCUUCGAGACAUUUUAGGAAACACAACAGUUGUUGAGGAGAACCAAAGUACCACGGACAAAGUUGUUGUCGUCUACAAUGCUUGCCUGG